AGCAUCACUAUAAGACACUAUACAUUGGUUG
This 31-nucleotide non-coding RNA is filed under the name Rattus norvegicus (Norway rat). The record is from RNAcentral. Lineage: Eukaryota; Metazoa; Chordata; Mammalia; Rodentia; Muridae.